This 1831-nucleotide long non-coding RNA is filed under the name Homo sapiens (human). RNAcentral describes it as "HSALNT0310124". Lineage: Eukaryota; Metazoa; Chordata; Mammalia; Primates; Hominidae. The record is from RNAcentral.
CUCUCCCUUCCCCCUCCCCUGAAACUAAAAGGAAUGUUCAAAGCCUGUUUUUCUGUGACCAGCAGACCUUAUCUAUGCUCCCAAUUCCAAUUCCUUGUAAACACAGUUUGUACAAUCCUGAGAGAUCCUGUCUCCUUUGCCAUGCCGCUGCAAGGUCAUAAAGUAGAUAAAACUUAAGUUGCAAUUCCGGUUUUCCUCAAGAUCUGAGACAUGUUAAUUGUCUUUGUUUCUCGCUCUGGUAACAUCUUCCCGCUGCACAUAUUUCCCGCCUUAAAGAGUUUAAAAGGUGAUCAAAAAAUCUAACACUGGCCACCCGCUCGGGACACCUUCCACGCUGUGGAAGCUUUGUACUGUCAUUCUGCUCAGUAAAGCCUACAGCCUUUUUUCUCUCGGUCGGGUCCACGUCUCUCUCUCUUGCCGCGGGCUGCCGCCACCCCAACCCUUUGGCGUGGCUAAGGCAACAACCUUUGGUGUUACCCUGGUUUGCAAAGAGGAAUGCCCUCUCCAAACAUGCCUAUCGAAUAAGGUCCUGUUCAUGAUGCAAAUCUCUAUGUGAUCUUCCUCCGGAAUUCUUGAGCCCAUUCCUGGAACUGUGUGAUAACUUGCCCAGAAAAUCUUCUUGUGGAAUCUGUCUUUACAUGGAAAAGACUUGGCAAUAUUUGUACAGCAACUGGAAGAAAGGUCUUUGCUGAGAUAUACAAAGAGGCAGAAUGUGUGUGGAUCACCGAUUAGACAAGGCGAAUAGGAGCAGAAUAGAAGAGGAAUGGAAUAGAACUCAAGAGCAACACUCAUUAGAACGGCCAAUAUCCAAAACACUGGCAACACCAAAUGUGGCAAGGAUGCGAAAUAGCAGUAGCUCUCAUUCAUUGCUGGUGGAAAUGCAAAAUGAUACAGACCCUUUGCAAAACGGUUCAGCAACUUCAUAGGAAAAGAGUAUGCUGAGUGUUGUUCUAUCUCAUUGUUGCUUUAAUUUGCAGUACUCUAAAUAUACAUAAUGUUGAACAUCUUUUCAUGUGCUUAAUUGCCAUCUGUGUAUCUUCUUCUGUCAGAUGUCUGUCCAGAUGAUUGGAUUUUUAAUAUAAUAAUUAUGUAUCUUUAAUAUAGAUUAUGUUUACAUUGUUUAAAGUAAGUGAAAUAUAUUUAAAAAAAUGCAGAUCCAAAAGUUUUGGAACCUAUAAAAAAAUCCACAGAAAUCCAUAGAAAGAGUUUUAAAAACACAGAGCUAGAAAACCUCUGUUAUUUCCAAUUUUCAUCUUCUAGGAUUCAAAGACAUUGGAUAGAUAGAGGGAAGCAGGUUUUCUUGACAUGUUUGUAUUAUGGCCAAGUUUGAUAAAAAUAAAUCCAUUCCAAAAAGCAAAAGGAAUGCAAAGCAAUCUAGUUGCAAGGUAUACAGUUAGUCCUCCGAAUAUUCUGACUUUGAAUUUGGUAAGAAUUUCUUCUUAUUAGUAAGAAAAGUAUUCAUAGCUGUAUUCUCAAUCAGCCUUUGCUGCAGUCACUCUUCAGAGUUUUUAUUCUUGUCUUUGUCUGUGGAGCCUGAAAGAAUUACGCCUAUAAAUAAGGUAGAAAGUUCUACUGGUUAGAAGUAGAUAAACAGAUUACAUGCUUAUCUCUGUGGUAUGUCAGCACCCUACAAAUUGGGGAAUUGAAUAGAUCCAUGUUCAAACAAGAAGUUUGCUCUACAUUUCUACUCUAUUCUGUUCUCAGAAAUUAAAUUGUAAUAGACAUUUAAAAAGUAGUGGUUGUACAGAUCAGUAUUUUACUGAUUCUUAGAGAGUAGAUUUUAAUCAAAUAUGCCUUUCUUUGAUUUUAAAAAGGAGAGAGCAAAAGCCCA